UCGAGAAUUUUGGGCAAUGGACGAAAGUCUGACCCAGCAAUGCCGCGUGCGGGAUGAAGGUCUUCGGAUUGUAAACCGCUGUCAAGAGGGACGAAAAAAAAUGACGGUACCUCUGGAGGAAGCCACGGCUAACUACGUGCCAGCAGCCGCGGUAAUACGUAGGUGGCGAGCGUUGUUCGGAUUCAUUGGGCGUAAAGGGUCCGCAGGUGGUUCGAUAAGUCUGACGUGAAAUACCGGAGCUCAACUCCGGAAUUGCGUUGGAGACUGUUGGACUGGAGUACCGGAGAGGAAAUUGGAAUUCCAGGUGUAGCGGUGGAAUGCGUAGAUAUCUGGAAGAACAUCGAAAGCGAAGGCAGAUUUCUGGACGGUUACUGACACUCAGGGACGAAAGCAUGGGGAG
RNAcentral lists this ribosomal RNA (400 nucleotides) under uncultured bacterium. RNAcentral describes it as "bacterial SSU rRNA". It matches the Rfam family "Bacterial small subunit ribosomal RNA", at positions 355 to 768 of the family's 1533-position model. The record is from RNAcentral.